RNAcentral lists this ribosomal RNA (419 nucleotides) under uncultured bacterium. RNAcentral's name for it is "partial 16S ribosomal RNA". It matches the Rfam family "Bacterial small subunit ribosomal RNA", at positions 355 to 764 of the family's 1533-position model. The record is from RNAcentral.
UGGGGAAUAUUGCACAAUGGGCGCAAGCCUGAUGCAGCCAUGCCGCGUGUGUGAAGAAGGCCUUCGGGUUGUAAAGCACUUUGCAGCGAGGAGGAAGGUGGUGGACUUAAUACGUUCAUCAAUUGACGUUACUCGCAGAAGAAGCACCGGCUAACUCCGUGCCAGCAGCCGCGGUAAUACGGAGGGUGCAAGCGUUAAUCGGAAUUACUGGGCGUAAAGCGCACGCAGGCGGUUUGUUAAGUCAGAUGUGAAAUCCCCGGGCUCAACCUGGGAACUGCAUUUGAAACUGGCAAGCUAGAGUCUCGUAGAGGGGGGCUAGAAUUCCAGGUGUAGCGGUGAAAUGCGUAGAGAUCUGGAGGAAUACCGGUGGCGAAGGCGGCCCCCUGGACGAAGACUGACGCUCAGGUGCGAAAAGGCGU